UCGCCUGUUUAACAAAAACAUGUCCGUAUGAAUUUAAUAUAAGGUCUAGCCUGCCCAUUGAAUAUUUGAAAGGCCGCGGUAAUUUGACCGUGCAAAGGUAGCAUAAUCAUUAGUUUUUUAAUUGAAAGCUUGUAUGAAAGGUUGAAUGAAAAAUAAACUGUCUUAUUUAUAAAAAUUGAAUUUAACUUUUAAGUGAAAAGGCUUAAAUACUAAAAAGGGACGAUAAGACCCUGUAAAACUUUAUAUAAAUUAGAUUUUUUAUUAUAAUUGUUUGUUUAGUAAGAAAUAAUUUAUUAAUAUUUUAUUGGGGCGAUAGGAAUAUAUAAGUAACUGUUCUUUUUAAUAACAAAUAUUGUUGAUUGAAAGGAUCCUUAAUAGAGAUUAUAAGACAAAGUUACUUUAGGGAUAACAGCGUAAUUUUUUUUAAGAGUUCAUAUCGACAAAAAAGAUUGCGACCUCGAUGUUGAAUUAAAAUUUCUUUAUGGUGCAGAAGCUAUAAAAGAAAGUCUGUUCGACUUUUAAAAUUUUACGUGAUCUGAGUUCACACCGGA
Molecule: ribosomal RNA, 551 nt
Filed under: Stenopus hispidus (banded coral shrimp)
Lineage: Eukaryota; Metazoa; Arthropoda; Malacostraca; Decapoda; Stenopodidae
Description: partial 16S ribosomal RNA
Rfam family: Bacterial large subunit ribosomal RNA
Source: RNAcentral